Molecule: ribosomal RNA, 502 nt
Filed under: uncultured bacterium
Lineage: Bacteria
Description: bacterial SSU rRNA
Rfam family: Bacterial small subunit ribosomal RNA
Source: RNAcentral
AUGGCUCAGGAUGAACGCUGGCGGCGUGCCUAACACAUAGCAAGUCGAACGAAGCACUUAGACAGGAACCUUCGGGUGACGUAUGGUGACUGAGUGGCGGACGGGUGAGUAACGCGUGGGUAACCUGCCCUGUACAGGGGGAUAACAGUUAGAAAUGACUGCUAAUACCGCAUAAGCGCACGAUGGUAGCAUUACCAGGUGUGAAAAACUCCGGUGGUACAGGAUGGGGCCCCGCGUCUGAUUAGCUAGUUGGCGGGGUAAGAGCCCACCAAGGCGACGAUCAGUAGCCGGUCUGAGAGGAUGAACGGCCACAUUGGAACUGAGACACGGUCCAAACUCCUACGGGAGGCAGCAGUGGGGAAUAUUGCACAAUGGGGGGAACCCUGAUGCAGCAAACGCCGCGUGAGUGAAGAAGUAUUUCGGUAUGUAAAGCUCUAUCAGCAGGGAAGAUAAUGACGGUACCUGACUAAGAAGCUCCGGCUAAAUACGUGCCAGCAGCGGC